CCUACGGGUGGCAGCAGUGGGGAAUAUUGCGCAAUGGGGGCAACCCUGACGCAGCAACGCCGCGUGAUUGAAGAAGGCCUUCGGGUUGUUAAGAUCUUUAAUCGGGGACGAAUUUUGACGGUACCCGACGCAUCAGCACCGGCUAACUACGUGCCAGCAGCCGAGGUAAUACGUAGGGAGCAAGCGUUAUCCGGAUUUCCUGGGUGUAAAGGGCGUGUAGGGGGGCAUGUAAGACAGAAGUGAAAGCUGGGGGCUUAACCCCAAAACUGCUUUUGGAACUGGGGGUCUUGAGUGAUGGAGAGGCAGGCGGAAUUCCUGGUGUAGCGGUGAAAUGCGUAGAUAUUGGGAGGAACACCAGUGGCGAAGGCGGCCUGCUGGACAGUAACUGACGCUGAGGCGCGAAAGCGUGGGGAGCAAACAGGAUUAGAUACCCUUGUAGUC
This 441-nucleotide ribosomal RNA is filed under the name uncultured bacterium. RNAcentral describes it as "partial 16S ribosomal RNA". It matches the Rfam family "Bacterial small subunit ribosomal RNA", at positions 338 to 795 of the family's 1533-position model. The record is from RNAcentral.